This 406-nucleotide ribosomal RNA is filed under the name uncultured bacterium. Its description in RNAcentral is "partial 16S ribosomal RNA". It matches the Rfam family "Bacterial small subunit ribosomal RNA", at positions 29 to 526 of the family's 1533-position model. The record is from RNAcentral.
AUUGAACGCUGGCGGCAGGCCUAACACAUGCAAGUCGAGCGAGCGGCGGACGGGUGAGGAAUGUCUGGGAAACUGCUUGAUGGAGGGGGAGAACGACUGGAAACGGUAGCAAAUACCGCAUACAGUCAGAUGUGGGCAGGUGGGAUUAGCUGGUGGGUGGGGUAACGGCUCACCUAGGCGACGAUCACUAGCUGGUGUGGGAGGAUGACCAGCCACACUGGAACUGAGACACGGUCCAGACUCCUACGGGAGGCAGCAGUGGGGAAUAUUGCACAAUGGGCGAAAGCCUGAUACAGCCAUGCCGCGUGUGUGAAGAAGGCCUUCGGGUUGUAAAGUACUUUCAGCGGGGAGGCGUUACCCGCAGAAGAAGCACCGGCUAACUCCGUGCCAGCAGCCGCGGUAAUUC